Molecule: ribosomal RNA, 478 nt
Filed under: uncultured bacterium
Lineage: Bacteria
Description: partial 16S ribosomal RNA
Rfam family: Bacterial small subunit ribosomal RNA
Source: RNAcentral
GACGAACGCUGGCGGCGUGCUUAACACAUGCAAGUCGAACGGUAAGGCCCUUCGGGGUACACGAGUGGCGAACGGGUGAGUAACACGUGGGUGAUCUGCCCUGCACUUCGGGAUAAGCCUGGGAAACUGGGUCUAAUACCGGAUAGGACCACUGCCUGCAUGGGUGGUGGUGGAAAGCUUUUGCGGUGUGGGAUGGGCCCGCGGCCUAUCAGCUGGUUGGUGGGGUGAUGGCCUACCAAGGCGACGACGGGUAGCCGGCCUGAGAGGGUGACCGGCCACACUGGGACUGAGAUACGGCUCAGACUCCUACGGGAGGCAGCAGUGGGGAAUAUUGCACAAUGGGCGCAAGCCUGAUGCAGCGACGCCGCGUGAGGGAUGACGGCCUUCGGGUUGUAAACCUCUUUCAGCACCGACGAAGCGCAAGUGACGGUAGGUGCAGAAGAAGGACCGGCCAACUACGUGCCAGCAGCCGCCGUAA